Molecule: non-coding RNA, 409 nt
Organism: Pelobates cultripes (western spadefoot toad)
Lineage: Eukaryota; Metazoa; Chordata; Amphibia; Anura; Pelobatidae
Source: the annotation of a GenBank genome assembly
GUGAAAUAUAAAACAAACAAAAGAGAAUAAUAAAUCCUAGUAUAAAAAAUAAAUGAGUAAAAGUAUAGUAUGGGUGGUAUUGUCUCUAGUAGUAUAGGUAGAAUGUCACCCCAUAUCACUUGGCCAACCCCAUACACAAAACGUCCUGACGCGCGUUUUGCCAAAAAUAUUCUUCCAGGGGAACAGAGUUAAACCAAACAGAGGUUUAAAAAUAGCACCUCUGUCAUUGAUAGGAUACCCACUAACCAAUCUGAACAUGGAUGAAAACCUGUAGGUGGCCUAAAAGGCAGGUUAUAUUAACCCUAUGUGUACCUGAUGGAAUCUUUAUUGUGGAGGAAAAAGUUGCAAAUACACAAAUAUAAAGGCACUUAUUUUUAGUUGUUAGAACACGUAUAAUGCUAGAAUACUU